GCGGAUGUAGCUCAGUCGGUUAGAGCGCUGGAUUGUGGCUCCGGAGGCCGUGGGUUCGACCCCCAUCAUUCGCC
RNAcentral lists this transfer RNA (74 nucleotides) under Saccharimonas aalborgensis (SeqCode). RNAcentral describes it as "Candidatus Saccharimonas aalborgensis tRNA". It matches the Rfam family "tRNA". Rfam says of the family: Transfer RNA (tRNA) molecules are approximately 80 nucleotides in length. Their secondary structure includes four short double-helical elements and three loops (D, anti-codon, and T loops). The record is from Rfam by way of RNAcentral. Lineage: Bacteria; Candidatus Saccharimonadota; Candidatus Saccharimonadia; Saccharimonadales (SeqCode); Saccharimonadaceae (SeqCode).